This is a long non-coding RNA of Macrobrachium nipponense, 25241 nucleotides long. RefSeq lists it as uncharacterized. NCBI's taxonomy places the organism in Eukaryota, Metazoa, Arthropoda, Malacostraca, Decapoda, Palaemonidae. The record is from RefSeq and is a predicted model, not a curated record. The transcript has 3 exons.
AAAUACGGACAAAAGGCGUCCCGGGGAGGGUCGAUACAGGACACAGGACAAAUGUCAUAAAUACGGGACAAUCCCGUCAAAUAUGGGACAUCUGGUCACCCUGAUUCAAGAGUAGAAAUUGGGUUAAUGACCAAGCGGUGACAUAGCGACCACCAAUCCCAGAAUGCGGUCACCAUCCCGAAAAAGUAUUUGUAUUCGUUGCCAUGGGUGUCAGUCAAGAGUUGUGGCCCAUCCAGGCACCACAACGUGACCUCUAGCUAUAUUCCUCGCGAACCAAGUGAUGCUAUGAUAAAAUUCUCAAUGGCAUCUGUAUAAAGGUUGCUGUAUAUAAUACUUCUGAACUUCUUGAAAAUGAGACGAAGAGAUGGCUGUGUGGCGACGAAUAAGAAAUGGUUUGUCGAUAGCUUUGAUGGUGGCCUUCAUAGUGUACAUAGCAUACUGCACCGAAGAACUUUAUACUCGCAUUCAGAACAAUAGAAAAUUGCAAAGACUAAUUAAUUAUGAAAAAGAGAUAAAUGAACUCACUAGUAUGUUAGGAGACUAUAAGAAAGAAGCUGCUAGCGUUCACAAGAGCCUCAGACUUCUCCGUGAGGCCUUUGACCAAGUUCUAAUGCAUCAGAAAGAUGUUUUGAAUGACAGAUGAUGCCAGCUUAGUGCAUGUGGAGUGAUAUAACUUGGUCCCUCUUCAGAAAUAGUUUGUAUAUAGUAUAUUUUUAAUACACUUCAAGAAGUAUAGAAAUAAAGAGGUUUAUAUAAAUAAAAUUUUCUACACUGAAGUUACAUUGUGUGCUGUUAGAGUAGUUAGGUGAAUGUUAGCAGUAGUAGUUGAAUAUUCUUUAGUAGGUUAUGUCACAGCAGAGCAUCUAGAACAUGAAGAAAUGCAUACUGGGAACAAUUCAAUUAUAUGUUAUUUUAAAGAGAAUUAUUCAACAUUGCUGAACAUUCUAUUGCGUAUAUGUAAUAUGUAUAUGUACAUUGGUCCAAGUCUGAAUGUCAGUUACUGUGAAGUACUUUUGCCAAAGCCAGUAUCCUUUCAUAAAUUUAGGUGUGGGCGCUGAAUAAUCCUGAUGGGUUCCGGCACUUGGUCCUUAAGACCUAAAUUUUGUUAUCAAUCGGUCAAUAAAUGUAGGCGCACAAUGAAGGUUUACUCAUAACACAAUGAAAGAAGAAGAGGAAUAUUCAAGUUAAAGAUUGUUAAUAAUUUUCAAAUCUUUCCUGCCAAAGCAUGUGUAUGACUGCAAUGUGUUAUGGAUUUGCCAUAACAUAUUUCCAUAAUGAUAAAGCGAAAUAGCUUUUCAUGGAUAUUCUUUGGAUUUUUUCAAAUACUCUAUAUAUAUAAUACAUUUUAGAUGCUUUGCUUUUUUGGACCAUCAAAAUAAAAUAAAAUCAAAAUACUAUAAUUGUAAGGUUACAUGGCUGUGCGACGGUCUUUUUACUAAAUGGAUUUAUCUAUCUUUCAGUCUUUAAAAUCGUCACUCAUCUUUAAAGUAGGUCCAAUCUGAAUCUUUAUUCUUUCAAAAUCUUGAAGGGAAACUUUUUGAGUCCUGCCAUGAAUGGCUUUAUUAGUAGUAGUACUCUUAGAAAUUAGCACAUCAGUGUAGUAGCAGUGUGCAUUAUUAUUAUUGUAGUUAAUGAAACCUGUUGUUAUUUUUUGUUUAAAUUGUAAUAGUAUAUACUAUACUCAUACUGUACUACAAGUUAUUAUAAUGACUGGUAGCUAACUUGUUAGUCUCAAGUCAUCAUAAUGUUCACUCUUCAUUGAAUGCUGUUUGUUUUCCAGAGUUUAUUAAAAGGUUCCACUUUAGAAACCAUUAUCAGGCCUGGCAUCAUGUCAGGGUUAUUUUUUUCUUCUAUUCAGCACUUGAGAUUGAAGAAGCACUUGUUACAGGAGCAAGUUAUGGUGGUGUUAUUAGCACUUGGUAGUUUUUUCCUCACUUUCAGUAUGUAUUGUCAGUUUACUAAUAGGUUUAUUAUUGAAGCAUUGAUAUGUAUUGAAGAAGUUUACUAAUAUGUUAGAAAUGAAAACUUUCAGGAAAAUAUUUGUGUUCAGAAUUUCAUUCUGUAUGGGACAAAUUUUUAUAGGGCAUAGAAUUUUACCAUACUUACAAAAGAACACAGUCUGGUUUAAAGGUGGGUACACACGUGCGAACCGAACCUUGUAUUGUAACCGAUUCUUGUAACAAAAACGCAAGUGUGGACGGUUCCUCGAACCCGAACCCCGAACCCGCGAGGUUCGAAGCUCCGUUCGCCCUCCGUCCCGGCAAUUGUCGGUUUUUGGGCCCCGAAUCAAAGGGAGGUCUCUUUGAACGUUACGCCAUGUGUGGACGGGACCUGUAUUACACGUGUAACAACAGAGGUUGCUGAACUUGUUAACACCGACUAUGAACAAGGCCGUCCAUAGUAGAGUCCCUUGGUUUGGUCAGUCAGUACAUACGUAUAUGUCUACCAUGGCUGAUUGAAGUGACGAAGAGGUCCUUCAAUUUAUUAGUUAUUACGAAGAACAGACUUUAUUGUGGCCAGAAACUUCUUGGAAUCUCAUGUCAGCGAGUAAUUCCCGACCACUGUAUUCUACCCUUCUAGUAUAUAACCCUGAUUGCCACCAUCUUCUUUUAUUUCGCUUCAUCUUCGUUAAAUAAUGUAUAUAAAUAUACACGGCAGCUGCUACUUGCAUGGUGGCCAUCGUCGGUAAACAACCCGGACAGAGACAGACUGAUGAUCGCAGUGGAUUGAAAUGAAGUUACGUGCUUAACGUGGUUACGGUUCGUCCUCAACAUUUUGACACCUUGUAACCGUAUAUGCGUAACUCAGUUACACAUACAAGGUUCGGCUCUCACGUGUGUACCCACCUUUAUAGCACUGUAGGCCAUGUUCACUUAUGAAAUGUACAGUGUAAAGAUUUGCCACAAAUUGAUAAUUUGCAUCGAGCUUGGCUUACUAGUUGUUCAUACGCAAACAAACCUUCGGUCUUAACAAUAGGAUUAAUUUCUAGCGCCUAGCUGGAUCCAGUUAAAAAACAGAUGAAAGCAAGGAAUCUUGUGGUAUCUGGCAACGCAUGCGUAGAUCGGGUGAGAAUGGUCAAAGACCUUUCACCUACGCCAACACGUCAGUCUUUUCUUAACCCUUUAACGCCAAUUGGACGUAUUAAACGUUGACGAAAAUUGUCUGUCGGGUGCCGAUUGGACGUAUGGUACGACAACGAAAAAAUGUUUUUUUAAAAAUUUGCGGAAAAAUAGUUAUAGGCCUACUAGGCAAAAACUUUUGAAUCACAUGCCUUGGGGGAUGCUGGGAGCUCAUGGAUCAAGGGGUUGUUUUGUUUACAAUCGUUACCCAGGCACGCAAGCACGAAUUUCUUUCUUCUCGCACUAAAAAGCAUCAGCGACACAUCUCAAAAAUUAUUUUGUCACUGACAUAAGUUUUGCACCAUUUUAUAUUAGCCGUUACAUAGAGUAUUAUAUAUGAAAAUGUGCGCAAUUUCAUGUACAAUACAACCUAAAACAACUCAUGGUUGUAGCUUUUAUCAGUUUUGAAAUAUUUUCAUAUAAAUAACAAUAAGUGCCAAAAUUUCAACCUUCGGUCAACUUUGACUACUGAAAUGGUCGAAAAACGCAAUUGUAAGCUAAAACGCUACGCUUAUAUUCUAGUAAUAUUCAAUCAAUUCCCUUCAUUUUGCAACAGACAAGUAGUCUCUAGCACAAUAUUUCGAUUUAUGGUGAAUUUAUGAAAACAGCUUUUUUUUUACGUCCGCAUGUUACGAAUCCAUGCAUCAUUUUGUGAUCAUAUUUUCUCUGUUUUGCCUUGAUCAUUUUACAAUGUGUUAUAUACCAAAAUGAUCGCAAUUUAGUGUACAAUACAACGAAAAAAAGGUAACUCAAUAGCUUUAACCGUUUUGCUCACAGUGCGAUUUGUAUACAAUUAUAUAUGAAAUUUUUUUUCGCGCUGUCAUAUAUUGCAAUAUUUAUAUAUGAUAAUGGUAUUUUUUUAAUUUCUGAUGGUUGCAUACUAAACUUCAGGCAAUAACAAAAAAGGGAGCAAAAAAUUAACUCUAAAUCUUAUAAACUAAGCGUGCUGUGAUUUUUUGAAAAAAACAUUUUUUCUGCUUUGGUGCUCACUCGCGAACGCCGCCGGCAUACGGGAGACGAUUUUUAAAAUACCCCUUCGGCGUUUAAGGGUUAACCUCCUGGGCAAGUUUAGUGGUUAACCUCUCUUGCCCUUUACCCAGUUCAUUGCCCGUUUCACUUGUGUUUAGUGUGUGUGUGUGUUUGCUGAUAUUAUGGCUUCUUCUGCUCCUUCUCGGCCUCGUCAACGUGUGUGCCCUGGAAUUCCAGGUUUUCCGUGUUCUCGUUUUUUGGUUUUGGCGGCGACAGAACCCCACAUCACAUGUAGCAGGUGCUGUUCUAAUUUUUGUACUAUAACGAAUCCUUGCAUAGAAUGCCAGGCAUGGCCUAAAGAGCAGUGGAAGUCGUUUUAUAGCAAGAGAGAGCAUCGGAGGGUUUCAACUCUUCCUUCUUGGGAAGGUUUUUCGCCUAUUCCCAAUGCUUUGUUUCCUGCAGUAUUCACCCCCUAUAAUAGUGUUGUUCCUGUGUCUCCUUCCUUUUCUUCCAUUGAUUUGUCGCUAGAAAUAUUGGGAGGCCACCAGGCUGAUUUUUGUAAUGUCACCCCUUCAUUGUCGUGAGGCUUUUUCAUCAUUCUCAUUUAUUCCAGAGUCAGAGGCAUCUAAGAUGGCGGCAAUUUGGAAGACGCUCAGGCUACGGGGUACCCCGUCCUUGGAGGAGUUGCUAGCGCACUUUAUGGAGGCUCGCUACCCCCCUCCCCAGGCUGGAUAGACCAUCCCCCCUCCCUACGGUCUCGUCUUUGUGAGUAGCCGAGGUCAGCGAUCUUGUAUUGCUCCGCCAGUGACUGUUGCUGCUUCUUCGAGUCAGAGGGAAGCUGUGGCAUCAGCCCCGUUGAUGACGUCACAGGAUCCGUCAUUGUGUAUUCCUCCGCCAGUGGUGUCUGAUUCUCCUUAACAAUGAGAAGAAGCCAUGACGUCAUCACCACUUGUGACGUCACUCGCAGUCAUCUCCUCUGUGCUUCCUCUCUCAGUCAUCUGUGCCGCCAGUUCGCUACAUCUCCCUUCCAUGUCAUCGGAGCCUUCUCUUGCAGAUCAGUCUGAGGUUAUAUGCCAGGCAGUGCUCAGUAGGUUGGACUCUGUUUUGGAUGAUAAGUUGGCUGCCUUGUCGGUUGGGAGGAUUGGAAGGAAACGCGUUGCUUCGUCCCCGCCUCCUGUGAAGAGAUCGCAUAAGAAACCAGUGCUGUUUUCCUCUCCCUCUUCCCCCUCUACGCCACGUCUGCGUAUCAAGCGUUGGAAUGCUAAGGACUUGUCUCUUUCUUUCGGAGAGUGUUAGUGUAUCUUCCCUUGUGCAAUCUGCAGCAGCUGCUUCGUCUUCUGCAUCGAAUUGUGGGCGUGUUGCAACCUCCCCCGUUUGUGCACAUUGCGAGCGUGUUGCAACCUCCCCGUCCAUCCACAUUAUGAGCGUGUUGCAACCUCCCCUGCAAGUGCUCCUUCUUCUCCAAGGCCUAUUCGUCUCUGUAAGGAUCUCAAGGCACCUGUCAAGAGGUCGAAGGUAGUGAGCGCAGAGUUGGUGCAGCAGGAGUGUUUGCCUGGCCCUCUCACUGGUGCUUCCAAGAGUUCGAUUCUGGAGAAUUCUCCUUUGAUCCCGAGUGUUCGGGAUUCCUCUCCAACUCAUGUUCGUAAGUCUGCCAUGCCCUUGACCAUUCACAGACAUGUUAAUGAGUCAUCUGUUGGAGGAGUACAUAGUGAUGUUCCUAGUGUUAAAGUGGGUUCAUCUCAGGAGCCGAUGCGUGGACCCAGCCCAGACAGGUUAGUUGGUGUUUCGGGCUGUUUGGCUGCUGAUCCUUCCGUUAAUGGAAGGUGCCUUAGAGGAGCAUACACAUCCUUCUCGUCAUCGGUCUCUGUUGCCAGAGCAGGAGGAGGGAGACACGCAAGAGUUUUUGUCUUCCUUUUCGGAAGUUGGUGAUCUCAUUCGUGGGUUAAACAAUUCGGAAAGUAGGACUCAGGCUUGGUCGUCUUACACGCCUUCUUGCUGGGAAGCCUUGGUGGGAUGUUACGAACCGAGAGAGGUCCGCUUCAGGUUCGAUAUUAUUAUAAACAAAAAGAAUUCAACUCCAACAAUUGGAACUGGGAAUACGAAUAUAGAAAGAAACACUAACACAACAAAGACUUAUUUACAAGCUUACUAACAAAGAUAAAUGCAGAAUGGUGUCUCAUAUUUACAUAAAAAGGCAAAAUCUUACACUGCAUGAACUGGGGGAACAGUGAGGUAAUGAAAGUACUUGCCGACCAGUUUUGCAACUCGAAGCGAUGGCUUCACAAAAGGAGAACUCUAAUUGUAGAUGCCUUCUUGCCUCCGUAUUGCAGAAAAUAAUGUCUACUCUUGAUACUCGAAGGGUAGGAACUUCUCUAAACCUCUUGCAGAACGUUUCUUCUCUGAAGUCUUGCUCUACGUCGAAAUAACUCUGUCGUCCACUCCUGACGACGACUUGACCAGAAUUCGACCAAACUCUCUCGAGUGCCUUGUUCUCUCUGAUCCUUCGUCCUUCUUCUCUUAUCUCACUCUGAUGAUCUCUGCUGCUGAUCUCUCACUGAUAAUCUGAUCUGUGGCUCUUACUGAUGAUCUCUUACUCUGUGACUAAUUGAUGAUCUGCCUUCUCCUACUUCAUCCGUCGUAUUUAUACGGCAUUCUGGGGGCGGGGCCUAUGGCGAACAUCACAGACUCCCGAGAUUACGGGAAUGAUUUAGAAGAAUCUCGACGGAAUAUUGCAUCAGAAAUCGCGGCGUUCCUCAUGUCACGUCGGCGCCUGUCAAGUUCCACAACACUCCUGCUGAUUCUAGAACAAUCAUGAGAACAGGUACCUCCAACACCUGCGCGAAAGCAUGUGUGCUGCAGAACUUUUCGAAGAUGCGUUUUCCUUUCCUUUAAUUCGCAAUUCCUUGCUAUGAAGCAAUUACCAUGACACGUCCCCCCAAAAAGAGAAAAAAAUUAAAUCAACUGAUUUUAUUUUUUUCUAAAUAGAAACAAAAAUUAAACAGCAGGAGAACAAUUCUGCAUAAAGCUUUGAUACUUCUCCAUUCACUCAACCACUCGUGCUAAAAUAGAAAGCGCUCAUUAGGCUGCUCAUUCUGAAAACUCUAAGAGACUAUUAGCUAUCACAUUAUCCUUUCCUCUUACUUUUUCCGUUUUCUCAAAAACUAAUUUCUCUCAGUAACACUGUCACAUAGAACACUUGCCAAGGCCAAGGUGCGGGGCCUUCUUUAUAAUUCUGAAGCAAGUUUAUAUUCAUUGACUUUUCUCUACUCUUACCCAUAUCAAUUCCAUAAUGUAUAUGUCCCCUCUCCUCUAACACUGAAAAAGGACCUUCGAACUUGUAAGAUAAAGAGGGACCUUCUUUCUGGACUAGUACUAAAACUUUAUCUCUUACACACAAACUUCUCUCUUUUGCUCUAAGAUCAUGUUUCCCUUUAGUUUCCCUUUGACUUCCUCUCGCGCUUCCGUUCUCCCCCGCUAGUUGCCAAAUAUCUCUUAAAUUGUUUUUAUAAUACUCUAGAUUAGUUGUGCAAUCUUCUCUACCCUUACUUCUAGGCAAAGGUCCGACCAUAUCGAUACCUACAUUUUCAAAAGGUUCGCCUACUGAAGGAAUAUUACACAACGGAACUUUGGGAAUUACUUGAAUCGGUUUCCCGGCAAUUUGAUAUUCAUGACAGCUUAAAACAUACCUUUUCACGUCAUUUCUCAUUUUAGGCCAAAAGUACGCCCUACUAAUAGACCUGAAAGUUUUAUUUACUCCUAAAUGUCCUUGCUCAUCAUGUGCUAACUUCAAAACUAAUUCACGAAGCUUCCUAGGAACCACUAAUUGUUCGGUGAUUUCCCCUUUACUACCUGACUUAGGACGAACAUAAUGACACAAAACUUCGUCCUUUUAACAAAAAGUUUCCUUACACACAUCGAGAACAUCAUCCAGCUCACAUUCAAAAAUUCGGGUUAGUGUCUCAUCCUCUCUCUGACACUUGACUAGCGCAUCCAUGCCUAAUUCAUCACCGUAACUAGUACUAGAUACCGGUACAUUUACUACGUUACUCUCGACAGUUACACCUUCCGUUUGUCUAUCACUGUCAACGAUAGAGUUAGGCUUCUCAGCCACACUCAUGCCAAGAUCAACCUCGCCACCUCUAUCACACUCGUUCGAAUCCACGAACUUACGUUCGAAUCCACGAACUUACUCUCGUUCGAAUCCACGAACUUACUCACGUUCGAAUCCUCGAACUUACUCACGUUCGAAUCCACGAACUCACACUCGUUCAAAUCCACGAACUCACUCUCGUUCGAAUCCACGAACAAAUUAUGACCGUAGUCUAUGUCUGUAUCUAAACCCGACCUAGUUACUACCAUUUCAGGCACUGGAAUAUCCCUCAACAGGAUUCACAUUCUUAGAUAAAGCUAAGUCAUUACUGACAAAAAUGUCAACGCCAUCAACAGGCAAACUGUCAACAACUGCCAGUUUCACUUCUCCUGACACUACUUGACUUUCUAAAUUCAACUUCAACAAAGGACAAAGAACACAAGUGUUAGGAAAUCCACCUAACAUGACUUUCUCUUCCAUAUUGAUUUCUGCCCUAUUCGGCACACUCUCUCUCCUAAUCAGUGAGACAGCAGCUCCUGUGUCUCGAAGCAAGACCACUUCCCUUGAAAAUACUCCUCCAAGAGAGGAAACUACGCCUUCUGACAGAAAUUCACCAAAAAAUUUCCUAGUUUCUUUUAUCACAUCAUUCCUACUUGAUGAAAGGUUAACUAGAGACACUGGUUUUUUACCGUCCUUCCUUUCUACUGCACAAUUUCUCGCUAAAUGCCCUUUCCUAUUACAUCGGAAACAAGUUAAUUCUGAAGGUUUUCCGCAUGUAUAACAGGAAUAGUCACUUUUACUCGCAUUGCUAUUACUAGAACUGAAACCUUUACUGCUUUGUACUCUACCAGACGAAGGAUCAUUUCGUUUCUUACUACACUCAAAUUAUGAGUUAAGACUAUAUUCGUCAGCUAACCUAGUUGCUCCUGCAAAAGAUACUUCUUGCCUAUCUUCUAUAUAAAGCUUAAUCUCAGGGGAUACGUUAUCGUUGAAGUUUUCUAACAACAGUAAGUUCUUCAAACUAUCAAAAUCCUCAACUUUAGCAGAAGUUAACCAAUCAAAAAACAGCCUUUCUAACUUCUUACCGUAUUCUACAUACGUAAUAUUUUCAUCCUUUCUCAAAUUUCUAAAACACAUGAAAUAUUUCGUUACAUCUUCCUCAUCAAACUUUGGUACUAAUUUCAGCACUGCACUCAUACCUAACCUAUCAGCUCCGUUUUCGCCUGUCCAACUGUUACGAGUACUUUCUCUUAACCGAGCAAUUUCCAACUCGUGCAUACAUUCUUUCUCUCUUUCUUCCUGUUGCAUUACCAACAUUUCUCUCUCUAGCUGCAUUUUCAUUACUUCUCUCUCAGCCGCUCUUUCAUCUCUCUCAUACUUUUCUCUUUCUUUCCUUUCAACAUACUCACGGAGAUCAUUCCCUCUAGACCCAGAAGCUUACCUGACUCAAUAAACUCUUUCACCAUCUCACUUAUUCUGGUUUUUUCUAUAUUCUCCCUGUUUCAAACUGUUAAAGUGCUAGAUAUAUUCUAAGCAAGGUCGCCACAAUGUUACGAACCGAGAGAGAGGUCCGCUUCAGGUUCGAUAUUAUUAUAAACAAAAGGAAUUCAACACCAACAGUUGAAACUGGGGAUACGUAUAUAGAAAGAAACACUAACACAACAAAGGUUUAUUUACAAGCUUACUAACAAAGAUAAAUGCAGAAUGGUGUCUCCUAUUUACAUAAAAAAGGUAAAAUCUUACACUGCAUGAACUGGGGGAACAGUGAGGUAAUGAAAGUACUUGCCGACCAGUUUUGCAACUCGAAGCGAUGGCUUCACAAAAGGAGAACUCUAAUUGCAGACUCCUUCUUGCCUCCGUAUUGCAGAAAAUAAUGUCUACUCUUGAUGCUCGAAGGGCAGGAACUUCUCUAAAUCUCUUGCAGAACGUUUCUUCUCUGAAGUCUUGCUCUACGUCGAAAUAACUCUGUCGUCCACUCCUGACGACGACUUGACCAGAAUUCGACCAAACUCUCUCGAGUGCCUUGUUCUCUCUGAUCCUUCGUCCUUCUUCUCUUAUCUCACUCUGAUGAUCUCUGCUGCUGAUCUCUCACUGAUAAUCUGAUCUGUGGCUCUUAUUGAUGAUCUCUUACUCUGUGACUAACUGAUGAUCUGCCUUCUCCUACUUCAUCCGUCGUAUUUAUACGGCAUUCUGGGGGCGGGGCCUAUGGCGAACAUCACAGACUCCCGAGAUUACUGGAAUGAUUUAGAAGAAUCUCGACGGAAUAUUGUAUCAGCGUCGCCGCCUGUCAAGUUCCACAACACUCUUGCCGAUUCUAGAACAAUCAUGAGAACAGGCACCUCCAACACCUGCGCGAAAGCAUGCGUGCUGCAGAACUUCUCGAAGAUGCGUUUUCCUUUCCUUUAACUCGUAAUUCCUUGCUAUGAAGCAAUUACCAUGACAUGGGAGCUACGCAGGAUCCCAAAUCAUCUCUUCAGCGCCUCUGUUUCGGACCGGGACGGUUCACUUCGCUCUAGGGGCUCUUCCAAGCUACUAACCCCACCUCUCACGAGGCAUAGGAAGUACUAUGCUACGAACUCUGCAUUUUUGAUGUCGCGCCAUCAUAAUCCAGAAGUCAUUCGCCUGAAGCCAGGAUUGGCUUUGGAGCAGGUGAGGUUGGUGGCUCCGUCCUUGUCUCUGCAAGAUGCCUCAGCAUUGGAAUCUCCAUGUUGCAGACGGUUUUUGGCUGGACUUCUGGUCUGUAGUCAUUGCCAAGAUAGCUUCUGACAGGUCCCCAGAAGGUAUGGUGAGUGCAUCCUUGCUUGCCAGUCUGUUGCAGUCUGAAGGCAAGGCGUUUUCGUAUAUGGUUCACCUCAGUGUUGAUUUAUGGUUGAACCCUCUUCUGAUUAGAAGAGACGCAGCUUUGUCUAGGAUGGAGAGAUCAGUUGACACUGAGUUCUUGCUGGCAUUGAGGAACGGAGAUCUGUUGAAAUCCCAAUAUUUGUUUUCUCGAACUGAGUUCAAAAAUGCGAUAGACCGGCAUCGGGCUGACACCAAAGACAGACUGGUGCACCAGGCUGUGUCUAAGUUGGAGUUUCAUCCUCGGAGACAUCUGGCUCCUCCUCCUCCCCCUUUCCAGCAGCAGUCAAGAAGCUCGUCGCCAGGUAGGCCGUCAAGGAAUUCGAGUUCGGCAGGGCCUUCUUGUUUGACUCAGAGGAUCAACAUCCCUUUCGCUCUUGUUUCUUUAAGCCAAGAAGAGGCCCAAGGGGCAGAGGUAAAGGGGGCCGUCGGUAGGUUAGGUGCCUCUCCCUCUCCUGUGCCACGGGUGGGGGGCUGCCUGGCAGCCCAUUGGGCCAAGUGGCAGAGUUAUGGGGUGGAGAAUGGGUGGUAGAUGUCCUUUGGGUGGAGUUCCUGCUGCCAUUCGACUUCUCUCCUCCUCUGUCGGACAAACUGCAGCUCAGGAAGGCAUAUCCUCCAGAUUCUCUGAAGUUCUUGGCUCUUCGGGAGGAAGUGCAGAAGAUGCUGGACAAGGAUGCGAUAGAGGAAGUGAUGCAUCCAUCUCCAGGGUUUAACAGUCACAUCUUCUUGGGGCCCAAGAUGUCGGGAGAAUGGAGACCUGUGAUCGAUUUAUCCACCUUGAAUCACUUCAUCAGGAAGACACGGUUCAAGAUGGAGACCCUGCGUUCGGUGUUGGCAGCCGUGAGGGAAGGCGAUUUCAUGCUGCCAAUAGACUUAAGGGACGCAUACCUCCAAAUCCCUGUUCAUCCGACGUCCAGGGAGUUCCUUCGCUUCUCUCUUGGGGACAAGGUUUUCUAGUUCAAAGUCCUAUGCUUCGGGCUGACAAUAGCCCCUCAAGUGUUCACAAGAGUCUUCUCUCUCGUGUCAAGUUGGGCCCAUGCUCAGGGGAUCUGUUUGCUGAGGUACCUCGACGAUUGGUUGGUCUUGGCAGUUUCCAGGGAAAAGCUGGUGCAGGACAGGGAUCAUCUACUUCUGUUUUGUCUGGAACUGGGCAUCGUAGUCAACCAGGAAAAGUCGAACCUCGUGCCCAGUCAAAGGAUUCUCUACCUGGGUAUGGUCAUCGAUAUGACUGGCAAAAGUUUUCCCAUCGGAUCAGAGAUUGGAGAAGUUGCAGGUGGUGGCGCGUGACUUCCUGUAGGAACCACAUCAGUCAGCUCAUCAGUGGCAGGUUCUUCUGGGAGUGUUAUCUUCCCUGGAGAAGCUGGUCCCUCAUAGGCAUCUUCAUCCUCAGUCUCUGCAAUGGAGACUGGGAGAAUUCUAGUCUCUGGCAGGAGAUUCACCCCUGUUAAAGGUUCCUCUGUCUCUGGAAGUGAGAGAAGACCUUCGUUGGUGGUUGGACAACCAAAAUCUUUCGAAGGAUGUCCCUCUGCGUUCUCUUUCACUGAACUUCCUCCUGUUCUCAGAUGCCUCAAUCGCAGGUUGGUGCCUCAUUUAGGUGGCCUCAUCGCUUCAGGCAUUUGGAGUUUGGAGGACAAGCAACAACAUAUCAACGUCUUGGAGUUGAAGGCAGCCUUCCUGGGUCUGAAGGAGUUUCGGGAGAAGGUAGAAGGUCAUUCUGUCAUUCUCAUGUCGGACAACACCACGUUGGUAGCCUAUGUGAACAAGCAGGGAGGCCUGGUUUCUCGUCAACUUCACCAGGCUCACCAGUAGGCAGUCAGCAAUUUGGUAGAGCUCUUAGCCUGGUAUAUCCCAGGCAAAUGGAAUGUGGUCACAGACAAACUCAGUCGUCAGGAUCAGAUCCUAGGCACAGAGUGGUCCCUUCAUCAAGUGGUAGCAGACAAAGCUUUUCCAGGAUUGGGGGAGACCCAUGCUGGACCUUUUUGCAACUCGCUUCAACAGGAAGCUGGAGAUAUUCUGUUCAGUGGUCCCAGAUCCUUUAGCAUUAGCAGAGGAUGCAUUCCAACAUCCCUAGGACAACAUGGAGGUGUAUGCCUUCCUUCUGUUUUGUGUGAUCUGUCAGGUUCUGAAGAGGCUAAUGAGUUCACAUGGUCUCAGGAUGACUCUGGUAGCCCCUCUGUGGCCUCAGGCGGAAUGGUUCCCAGAUCUGCUGUCGUUGUUGUCAGAGGUUCCGAGGGAGAUUUCCCCUUGGUGACAUCUCCUGUGUCAGCCCCAUGCAGAAAGGUUCCACCAGUCAGUAGAAUCCCUGUCUCUUCACGGUUGGAGGCUAUCAAGUAUCUCCUCUGAGCGAGAGGCUUUUCUCACAGAACAGCAGGGCAUGUGUCCAGCAGUCUCAGAAAGUCAACCUCCGCGGUUUACCGAGGGAAAUGGCGAUCUACUGUGAUUGGUUUUGUAAACGGGGUUUUUCUCCACUCGUAACCUCUAUUCAGCGAAUAGCAGACUUUUUAACCUUCCCCAUAGCGGAUAAACGUUUGUCUGUUUGUGCCAUUAGAGGCUACAGGGCGGCCCUGAGUUUGGUGUUUUGCCUUAGAGAUAUAGACAUCUCCUCUUCCUGGGAACUUUCCUUGCUAGUUAAGGGGUUUGAGCAGUCAAGUUCUCCUAGAGAGCUCAAUCCUCCGACGUGGGAUGUUUCCUUGGUUCUCAAGAGCCUCAAUAAGAGUCCAUAUGAGCCCUUGCGUCGCUCAUCUGACUGGAACUUGACGCUUAAGACAGUUUUCCUUCUGGCCUUGGGAUCUUCCAAGAGGGUAGGAGAGCUCCAUGGUCUGAGCUAUGAUGUGAAGCACACCAGGGGUUGGGGGUUGGUGCCCUUCGAAUUUGUCCCAGAAUUUGUGGCCAAGACCCAAAAUCCCUCUGUGCAUGAUGACAGGUUCACUUCAUUUUCCAUUCCUUCACUGAAUGACUUUGUGGGUGGUGAUGCUCAAGAGCUUUUGUUGUGCCCUGUCCGGGCCCUGCUUUGCUAUGAAGAAAGAGGUGUCUAAGAAUACUAUUUCUUUUUGGAUACAGGAAGCCAUCAGACAGGCAUACUUGGCUCUUGAUGAUUCCACCACCACGUCUGUGCAGGCUAGAGUGCAUGACGUUAGGGGUAUUGGUCCCUCUCUGGCUUUCAAAAAGAAACUUGGCUGUACAUAGAGUGCUGAGCGCUGGUACUUGUUUACGCCAGUCCAUGUUCACCUCUUUCCAUCUUAAGGAUGUUGCCCACAGAUCUGCGGACACGUUUUCCCUGGGUCCUGUGGUGGCUGCCCAACAGGUUGUGUAACUCUUAGUUGCCCUUAACAGGGCACUUUUGUAUCUUACCUAAGAUGAUUGUGUGGAUGAGAGAAUGAGUGAGUUGGCUGGUCUCUUUCUUUCUCUUGUACCUUUCCUUCUUCCUUCAGGUGGGUUAAGGAAUAGACACGUCAUUCGCUGGACUGGUCUGACACAGGUGAGUAAGGUAGUCAUACUGAUAGUGUGGUCGCUUAAUAUUCAAAUAUCAAACCCUCUAUUCAGUAGCAUAUGCUCCACUCCUUGGCAAGGAGGAGUUGAGAGUUGUACACACCCUGGUGUCUUGGUUUGCUAUUGGACUGUCAAAGUUUCUCUUUGGUUCCCUAUACAAUGGUUCUCCCAUAUAUCAUUGUAUGUCACUCAGGGUCUGAGUGGUUAGAUAUCAAUUUACCUAGCUUCUCAACGGGCUUCAGUCCCUCUCCAGAAGUCAUUUCUUCUCGAAGCUGGACUGGUGGGUAGGCCCCCAGCCAGAUUAGAAUGUCUUGUACCUCCCUCCAAGUAUGAGUCUAUCCUAUUGUUAAGACCAAAGGUUUGUUCGCGUAUGAACAAAUGACAAAUUUUCUAAGACAAUUUGUAUUUUUCAUAGCUACAAACCUGAGGUCUUAACAUUAUACUGGCUGCCUCUAGCCGCCCCUCUGUGUGUUAAGACAUCCUGAGUUGGGAAAGACUGAUGCGUUGGUGUAGGUGAAUGGUCUUUGACCAUUCUUCACCCAAUCUACGCAUGUGUUGCCAGAUAUCACAAGAUUCCUUGCUUUCAUCUGUUUAUUAACCGGAUCCAGCUAGGCGCUAAAAAUUAUCCUAUUGUUAAAACCUCAGGUUUGUAGCUAUGAAAAAUACAAAUUGUCUUAGAAAAUGUCAUUUUAUGCUGUACAUUCAAUCUUUGAAUUGGCUUGAAUCUUUUCUUUGCACAUUGCAUACUUAUCACUUAGCCUUCCUUCUUGCAUACUUAUCACUUAGCCUUCCUUCAUCAUUUGAGUUGGAAAUCAUGAGUUAAGAUACCAGUCUUAAGAUUAGUUGUAAUACAGGGAGGGCGUUCUCUACGAGGGAGUGCAUCUUUUGUUGACUACUGAAGUUGACUAUUUUACUGUAUCUCCUCUACGAACCUUCACUGAAUUUUACAAUUUUAUUUUUGAUUCUCUUGAAUUGUGCUCAGAAAUUGCUUAUUCAGUUUGUUUAUUGAGUGUAUAUUUUUGUUUUUGUGCAUACUACAUCCAUAUAGUAGCUAAGAUACUGUAAGUGGCUUAAUUUUAAGUAUUCGAAUUUGCAGCAUCCUUAAACCUCUAACUGCAUUUCUUUUACUUUUCAUAUGCUGUAUUCCAUAUGUUUUACGAAUAAAUCCUUGAAGUGCCCCCAAUGAGAGUCUAGGAAUUUGACUUGGUUGUUUUGUUAGGUGAAUGUAUAGAGCUAAAUUUUUGUUGAACAGUAAAGUCUCUUGUCAUUCAGCAACAGAUUCUCUGUUAUACUCAAAGAGUGAGCAUAAUUUUUAUGCAUCAUGAAUUUAAAGUUUACACACAGUGGGCAUGAUUCUGAAGCUGCCAAUGAAGUAUUACAGUGACACACACAUGCUCUAUUAACUUUAGAUAAGAAAACUUUUAACCUAAUGCAGAUGGGUUACAGAAUAAAACUAUAUAAGUCGUAGUAAACUGAUAAAGAUAAACUUCAAUUGGAAUACUUCAUGUUAAAUAUUAGAUUUAACAAUUUUUAUAUAUUACUUCAUUUUCAUAAAGUUAGAUGACUUUCCACAGCUGCUUGUGUGCAGUCCCAAGAGAGAUAGGAAUAGUAACUCACUGAUUUGGUUUAUUCAGCAAUAACCAGAGAAACUUACUUUGUAUUCUAAUUGCUGUAGCAGUUGUGUCAACUCCAGACACAGGAGUUUUUGGUAUGGUUGAUAUUCUUACUGAUGUUAUGUAUAUUGAAUUAAUUGACUGGUUUACAGUAUUUUUUGUUUUUGGGCAAUGGGUUGAAUGCAUUGGAAAUUUUGAAGCUGUAUCCAUGAAACUGUUGAAGUUAUGAAUAGGAGUAAAAAUUGAUACUUGAACUUAAGUUUUAUAAUGAUUAAACUAUUGGACAGGUGAAAAUCUCUGAGGAAGCCAUUUCUAAGUAGUAUAUCAACCAGGAAUUUUUUUGUCAGUCCUUUCAGUGAUUUAUUUGAAAUCGAUCAAAGUUGUUUAGUGUUUAGAUGUGGUAAGGAGGAAAAAUAAUAUGAACAAAAAUGUACCAGAAUUCUACAUCAAGUAUGUAGUCAUAAUCAUCCUCAGUACUCUGUGCCUUCAUAGAAUUCUGGACUAUGAAAUAGAAAAUGAGGUAUUAAAUUUAUUAUCCUCAAAAGUAUUUUUUAUGUCAGCCUUUCCAUUUGUGGGAGUUAGACUUCAAAUGUGUUCUCUCCACUCUUCUGUUUGAUGGACUUUCUGCCUGAAUUCCCAUCUGGUCUAGGUCUUCAUUUAUGUCCUUUUUUGAUUUCCUGGGCAUUCCUACAGGUCUUCAUCCUGCUACUUCUUAAUCUUUUGUGGCUAACUGUAUGCUAUCUCUUCCCAUCAUAUGUCCAGAGUAUUUCAGUGUUUGAAGUCAUGGUCUGUUUAACAGCUGCUGGACACCACAUCUCUCCUGUUUUCUCAUUUGUAACAGUCUUCCUGUUGCACUCUGCUUUUGCAGCUAGUAUUCUACAGUUAUACCUUUUCAAAGUGUUGACUCCAUUUUCUUUUUCAGUGCCCAUGUUUUUGUAGCGCAAUUCAUAAGUAAGGUGGUGAAUACACACUUGCAUUAUCUAUCUAAAAGGUUUUCAUGUAUGCCUUUACAUCAUGAAGAACAUGCAGUAGAACAUAAAACAUAAAGGCAUAUAUUACACAAUCUAUAAAGACAUAACAAUUCUUACUUUUUUGUAGGGUUUGCUGCAAUAUCUUAUAAUAGAACAAACUAGUUUUCACCAAUUAAUGCAUAUUUUUUAACAGCAAAAUUGACUGAUUAUGAUCCACAGUUAUAGUUAUGUAAAACAUGCCACCACAAAAAUUAUUCACCAGAGGUUUUUUAGUAGCCAUUCAGAAUUGUUUUCAAACCCAGUUGUUCAGCAAGUUCAGUGUUUAUUGCACUAAUUGUAUGAAGUUAGCAUAAAUGUUGGAAAUUGUUGGGUCCUUGCUCAUGUAGGCAUAAAAAGAAAAUGAGGAUGCUGACAAGGGAUGCAAAGCUAUAACUGCUUUGAUUAAAUCAAAUUUACCUGUUCCUGCCAGCAGUUUGUUAUUACAAUAUGUCUGAAACUCAUCAUGUUUAGCAAGUGACAGGAAUUGUGGAGUAAUGAAUCAAACAAUUAUAAAUUAAAACAGAUUACAUCAGCUGUUAGAUGUGGAAUUUUUCAUUUAAAAAAAGUACAUCAUGUUGGAAUAGUGUUAACCUGUCUUUGAAUUGGUUACACUCAACUGACUCAUGGGUAUUUGAUUAAUAAUCCAUAUUAGGAAUCCCUGUCCCAGGAUGUAAAGAAUGCAGAACAUCAUUUUAAACAUCUUUUAGUGACUGUCCAACUGUCAACAACAUAUGUCAAGUACUAUUAGAAACAAAUCUUUUAGAGAAAUUGUGUGUGAAUGUUAAGCAUUUUCAGUUUAUCUAGUCAUUAAAUUUUUAAAAGAAUUAAAUCCUACAGGUCAGCCCUGUGAGAGUCAGGAAUGUUAAUGGUUUGGUUAUAUACAACUAAUAAUAAUAAUAAAACGUAAUAGUACAUGUAUUAAUGUUAUACACAAUAAAGCAUCAUUGUAUACAACCAUUUAGAAAAGAGGUGACUUGUGUUUAUCAGUAACAAUUUUCACUGUAACUGUAGAUAAAGAUGUUUUAGCAAAUGAGACAUUGCUAUCAUAGCAGGAAUUAUUAUUUGCUUUUGCCUGUCUUUUAGUAACGGAAUAUUUAAAAUGUUUGGGCUAAUGAGAACUGUGUAAGUGUAAUGUACACUAGAAUAUCUACCAAAAUAUUUUUCUUAAUUCAUUUUAUAAAGAUUCCUCAAGUGAAAGGUUCAGUUCUCAUUCCUGUAAUAUCAAGGGCAGUAUUUUAUCUUUAGGGUAGCAUGCAUGCUUAAGAGCAACAAGAGCAAGUCUUCAUCACUGAAUUCCAGUAGUAAUAGUGACUUAAACAAUGAUUGCAAGAGUGGUUACUCUCACCAGAAAAUAUUAAGGUGGUUCGUAAGCUGUUUAAUGUUAAAUCUAUUGAAUGCUGAAAUGUUUACUUCUUUCAUCAAGUGUAGUGGCAGUGGAAAUUAUUCUUUGUCAACUCUAAAGUUUAGUGCAAAGGCUUGAAGAAACUCAAACACAAGUUGUAACAUACUCCUACAGUUUCCACCCAAUAGCUGGUCAGAACUUGAAAUUACACAUUUUCAGAUGAAAUCAAUAAUACAAAGUUUUCUUUUACCAUUUUUUUAUUGAAAUUUUGUUUGUACUUUUAUUUAUUCACUGUAAUAAUACAAAAGUGUAUUUAGAAACAUUCACAAGUUAGAUAUUUUGAGUUUGCAAUUGUAAAAACUUGUGUAUUCUCAUCUGAUUAUUAUAUGGUUUGUCCUUAACUUCUUUAUAAACCAGAGAACCACAUUCAAGCUGUUUUUCGGUUUAUGUUGCAUGUCUGUCAGUAGGCUACCAUCUAGCCUAGACUAGAAUGUUUGAAUCGUAACCAAGUAUGGUAAAAAUUUUAAUUAUUAGUUCAGCAUCUAACCCCAAAGGUAAAAGCUGAUGUUAUGAUGAAGGUCUGAAGAUUAAUUUUGCAAGAUUUUAUAAUUUAUGCAAAAUUAGCAGUUUCUGAUAUAUUUAUUCAUUUCAUACUGUAAUUAAUAUUUAAUACUGUUAUUAUCAUGGAGUAUUGUGAAUUUUUGAAAAUCAUAUUUUAAAGAAUAGCAGUAAGAGAGUAUCUCGGUACAUAUUUAUAAAUUUUAGUUGAUGUAUAAGUUCAUAAGGAGGUUUGUAUACAUGUACUACAUGUACGAAAACCUCCCCAUGAAAUUCCAUUUAAAAUAUAGAAUAUGAGUUGUAUCACCUACUGUUUAAGACAACUCCAAGUCUGGUAUUUUCCUCUGAGAGCAUACUGUCCCAAUAGUGGAGUGAUAAUGGCAGAAUACUUUUGAUUAUGAUAGUAAUGUGCUUUAAACUUGCCAAACUGUUGUAUCAUAAACACUAACAAUGUUACUUAGGCACAGAUAGAAUUGUAUUUGGGCUGAUUACAUCAUCUUUUGGUCUUGCCUAGUCUGUUGUAAUUCAUUUGAUUACAAUGGUAGGUAUGUUUAUAGUAGUCCUCGGGUUAUGCCAGGUGUCCAUUCCAACGUCACACUGUAACCCAGAAUUUUGCAAGAAAAAUCAGUAAAAAUGAGAAGUGAUGAAAGCCUGACCUUUAAUCCUAUGGGUGUACUGUACAGUAUUUUACUUGUAUUCUGAUGUGUGCAUCCAAAAACCGCCAAAUUUUUAUUUUAUAUUGUAGCUAACCGUAUAUGUACUUAUACUGUUCCACCACAGCAUAAGACUGACAUUACCCCAUAACAUCUUCUGUAACCUGGAACAGAUUUUUUUUUAUUAACAUAGUACAUUAGAGCCCUGGACCUCAACGAUAAUCCGUUCAAAAAGAGGCGUCGAAAUUUGAUUUCAUGAGAUCUGAAUCAAUAUUUUCCAUAAGAAAUAACUGAAAAUGGAUUAAUCCGUUCCUGACCACCCAUUAUUACCCUAAUCUUGCCUUAUUAUGCAAAACAGUACACGUAAAUUACAAUUAAACAAGUUCAGAGUUAAAUAAAUAUCAUAGACGUAUAUUUUUAUUUUUAAAUUAGCAUACUGUAUAAAAAAAACUAGCCUAUGUCCAUUGCGGCCGUAUUACCAAUGGUUGAACAGGUGCUAUAGGCUAGCUACUACUAAACAGAAUGCAGAGUAAUGGGUUGGCAGAAAAUUUUCUAACAUUAAAACAUUGAAAAACAAGCCUAACUAUUACAGUAUACCCAGUAAAUUAAUAAAAUAUGAACAUUAAGCUGAAUUAUGUUGAUCAUAACUUACAAAAAUUUGCCUACAUAACGUCGGCAGCGUGUGGCAUGAGCAGAUGUAAACAAACCUGUGUACAUAAAGAGACUUUAUAUACAAAAUCACUUUAAAAUAUCUUUCAAUAAAUGUGAAGAUACUAAAACUUUCUUCAUAUAAUAUCCUUGUAAAACAGGGAUGCGUCUUCUCUACCAGGAAGCUCAACAAAGCAUAAAGAUUGCUUUGCUUUCGUUACCAAACCACACACGUACUAAACAUUGCUUUCACUUGUGAAGAAAUUCACAAUCUCAUGAAGAACAAUCUGUCAUAAAAAUCCAUAAUUAUAUAAUAAAGUAGAAUAUUACUAUGUAAAAUAUACAAAGAUUUUCGAACACCGUUCAGUGUUUACGUUAACCUCGUUGAUGCUGAAAGCCUUUGUAAAUUUUUCAUCCUUCACUAUUAAUUGUGGAUUUUUAUGAGCUCACUACCAAACCUCAGAACUGUGUUCAAAAGUCUUUGUAUAUUUUUCACACUUUACUAUUAAUUGUCGAUUUGUAUGACAUACAUUUUUCUCUGCCAAACCUCACACAAACAUUGCAUUUACUAUGAAAUGCAUACGUGUGUGGGUGCAUAGUUUUUAGACUAGGACUGUCUAAAAAAUAUCGAGGGUGGAUGCUUGCUUACGCCAAGGAAAUCCCACAAAAACAAAAAAUGUGCGCAUACCAAAACAGUAGCAGCGGAGUGAUAAAGUUUUAAACAAAGUGUAGCACGCCACCACCAAUGUUACCAGACACAUAAGCAUCAUUUGAUGCUUCUAGCAUAUUUGAGGUAAAUUUCGUUUCGUAGCGUAAUAUAUUUGGCUUAACGACCCAUUUAGGAUAAUUUUGUGAAUUUUGGCAUAAAUAUACGUAGAAUCAUUAAAAAUAACAAACAUACCUGACUUAUUUUGAUAAAAUAAAGUACGUAAUAUUUAAUAAAUUAGGUUUAUCAAUCUGUCUCAUUAGAAAAUCUAAAUAGAGGUUUGAUGUGUCCCUCAUACAUACUGCCCAAGAAUUACAAAUGUCUGUGUUUCAUGAUGCAAGUGCAAAACAAAAUUGCAAAAAUAACCUUGGAGAAUGAACAACAGGACUUGGAUAGUGAAUUGCGUACACUAAUUAAUUACAAGUGAUGACAUUGAAAGUUUUCUUUAUGAAAACAUCGACACAGAGUCAUUUUGGGCUAAAGUUUAUCUUAGUAAUAAAUAUCCUAUUCUUUCAAAGUUAGCUCGAGCCUUGCUAACCAUUACCAUAUGCAGAUUGUGAACACAUUUCUCCAUGUAAGAAAAAAAAAAGUAAAAUGUUUCUUUAACAAAUGAACUAAUAUGCAGUGAAGUUAUCAAGAAAACAGGUGAUUGCACCAAAUUUAAUCCUUCUAUUAUUAUUAUUAAUAGGGGUUAGUUUUUCCAGACCUCUGAGUCUCAAGUAGACUCUUCUCGGGCUGGUUUAAUCCUUCUAAGGACAUGCUAAGGUCCAUAAUGAUAUUUCCUGUAAAUAGGAUUAUCAUCGUUUAUAUUUUAUGGCCAAUUGUAUUUAUAUCUUAUAUAUUUAUGUUCACUGAAAAUAAAAUAUUAAUUUAGCAUAACAGCACAAUUUUGUCAUCCCGCUAGCAUAAUUUUGAUAAAUUUAGCAUAAUUUUUUUUAUAGAGUUUAGCAUCAAAUGAGAAAUGAGAUCUAUUAGCAUAAAAUUAUCAUAACUUUGUCAUCCCACUAGCAUAAAUUUGAUAGAUUUAGCAUAAUUUCAUAUAGAGUUUUGCAUCAAAUGGAAGUGAGAUCUCAGCAUAAUAUCAGCAUAAUUUUGAUAGAUUUAGUAUAAUUUCAUAUAGAGUUUAGCAUCAAAUGGGAAGAGAGAACUAAGUAUGAUAUUAGUAUAAUUUUAUCAUCCCACUAGCAUAAUUUUGAUAGAUUUAGCAUACAGUAUUUUCAUAUAUGUAUAUUGGGAAGUGAGAUCUAAGUUAGCAUAAGAUUAGCAUAAUUUUAAUAGAUUUAGCACUUUUUUAUGUAUAGUUUAGCACCAAAUGAGAAGUGAAAUCUAAGUCAGCAUAAAAUUAGCAAAAUUUUAUCAUCCCACAAGCAUAAUUUUGAUAGAUGUAGCAUAUUAACAUAAUUUCAUAUGCUGCAUAGCAUCAAAGAGAUCUGGUAACAAAGCACCACCAACAACACCAACUAGUGAAGUUGACUGAAACAGUUUCGUUUACAAGCAUCAAUGGCCACGCUGGUCGAAUUCUGGAAUUUUAUUCAGUCUAAUGCAAAGUUUACUCAAAAUUUGGUGUUGAAACCCAAUUAUGUAGACUUCUAAUACGGUUGAGGUCUGUGGUUCUACUGUAUUGGAAAAGCGAUGUAAACUUUGAACAACAUGACCCGAGGACUUCUUGUGGUAUAUAUUUACUGUAUACUAAUUCAGAAUACAGUAAGUAUUUUAAAAGUAUAUUGCCUAUUAUUUAAAUGUAGCACUGAUUUUUAUUACUCAUUCAAGGAUAGAUUCAGUUUGAUGGAUAGUGAUUACAAAUUAAAAAUGAGAUAAUUAAAAAAUCUUUAUUUCAGCCUGUAUGAAAGGCUUUUAUGGAGUUUUCCAUUUUUGUCAGUGACACUGAAAAUUGCAAAUGUAUAAGAUCAUUCCUAGGUUUAGGAUGCUUAUUUUCAAGACUCAUAUUCAGUUAUAUGUAUAUGCCAAAAUAAACUUAAGAUUUACCAUCUUCAUUACAAUGAAUGUCAUUUCCAUUAGUGCCAAAAGAGAUUUAACUUAGGUCGUGCGUUCUUAUAGUGAGUUUAGUUGGAAAAAGUAGUUUAAAGGGAGAUCCCAAGAAUGGUUGUAUGUAACUAGGACUUUAAAUUAUACAUUCAUAUCUAUAUACAGGUCAUAUUUGUCUUUCUUUGUUAUUUCUGUUUUAUAGCUUAUAUAUUCUUCUUUUGCUAUUAGGGUGUUUGGGUUUGUAGUCUUUAGCCUUUUUAACUAGCACAUUUUCUUAUCCUUUUGGGAUUUUGGGGGAUCAAGAACUUUGCUGUGGUAUAUCACUCAUACAUUCUGCAUUAUUGUGUUUGGGAAUAUAAUUUCCUUUUAGCCUUACAUUAAAGUUAGGGGAGAUGCCAGAUGCCACCAAUUCCUUGCAUAAACAAUUUUUGUUUUUAUCGUAAUGUUAAGACCACAAGUUUGUAAGGUAUAAAAAAAAAUACAAAUUCAUUUAACAUGUCAUUUUUCAAAAUUUUUGAAAACUGAAAUAGGUAUGAAUUCUUACCAUGGAAAAUUAUGAUAAAAUUUACUUACCAAUCAUGUAUACCAUUGCUUAUUCAUAUCAGUUAUUGCAUAUAAAAUGCACAAAGAUAAUGAGGAAAAUUAGUUUUUUCUGUUGUCUUGUUCAAUAAUAAAUCUUUAAACAAUCACUUCUUGAAUAGGGAAUAGAGUUAAACCAUCCCUCUAUACAUUCCAUUUAUCAAAACGUGGUCAAUUUUUUUUUCCCACAGACAUCAUUUUAAUCUCAAGGGGUGAAAUUUGCAUGACAUUACAUGAUAUCAUAAUCUAGAAGGGUUAAGGAAAUGUUCUUCAAUGCUGAUGAUAAUUUUGUCACUUGUUUCAUCUUAACUUCCACUGUAAUUCAGAACUCACAUUGAAACCUUUUGUAUAUUAUUUCAUCUUAACUUCCACAGUAAUUCAGAACUCACAUUGAAACCUUUUGUAUAUUAUUUUGAUGCUUUACUGUUACUGUUUAUUGAGGGGGUUCAGUUUUACAGUGGUGACCUGUAGAAAAUAAGGAUUCAGGGUUGGGAUUUUGAUGCAAGAAUUCCUGUAACACUUUUGCUUUUAUCCCCAUUAACUAUAAGUGGUGUUUUUUGCGUGUGUGCAGUUUAAGGGUGAAGAUUGUACAGGGUAUGUAACCUGCUAAUUUUCAUAAAUUGCAGAAAAUUAGUGGAUUUCAAUAAAGUUUGUAGUCAACCAGUUUUGAGAGGAAACAAAUGUUGAUUUGGAUCUUAGUACAAUUUUGUAAGAAAUGGCCUUACCCAGAUUUAAAUUUGGAUAUAACUUUGGUAUUUAUAGGGUACAAAUGCCUUUGUGUUAUGUAAUAUUUUGCAGGUAUUAAAUAUUUAUUUAUUGGCAUUCCACAGUUCAAACAUUUACCAAAAGCACAGUUUGAUUCAAAAAGUAGCUUGCAAAAUUUUUAGUACCAUAAGUUUUUAGUGCCAAAAACAAGUCCAUUUUUUUUCUUUAUUGUGUGGUGGACAAGGUGAGAGAAAAGGUUGUAUGCUAUCAUUAAAGUACCAUACAAUUGCCUGAUAUUUUUCAGUAUUUGUAGAGAAGCUCCUCGGCAUUCAAAUCAAAAUCCCUCCUUAGAAAUUUCUCAAAGCCCUCUCUCAAUGUUCCGCGUAAUUUUUUUAUUUUCAUUAAUUGUUUUAAGCAGUUUCCUUGACUUGCUUACUCACAAUAAUGUCAAAAAUUCUGUACUGACUUGCUCUCCAUGUUUCAAGCCUAGAUUUUUUCCCCAAAAUGAAGGCAGCUAUUCCUCACAGAUACAACGUUAAAGUUUUAAUGGCCAGUUUAACUUUUAAGUUUCUCUUAAGUAAUGUAAUAUUCCAGUUCAUGCUUGAUGAAUUCAUUCAUAAAAUGGUAUUUUUCAUAUUGGAUGUGUUGUUUUUGCAUCUAUACUUAUAUUAUAAAUACUCUAAUUGUAGCUCAUUUUAUUUAGAAUUUUAUUUUGCACCACCAUAUAAAUUUUAUUUAGAAUUUCAUUUUGCACCACCAUAUAUUCCAGGAAUGUUCAUUGUAUAGCAAGGACAACACACUUUAAAAUUUCAAGUUCUGUUAAGCAUUUCCAGUCUUGUCUUCCAGUGAGACUUAGACAAUAUUCAAGGGUAAUGAAAUAUCUUUUCAGUUUAUAACAUAUAUUGGCUUGUUGAAAUAAAAUCUUACAAGAGUAGA